This 72-nucleotide transfer RNA is filed under the name bacterium. RNAcentral's name for it is "tRNA-Ile". It matches the Rfam family "tRNA". Rfam says of the family: Transfer RNA (tRNA) molecules are approximately 80 nucleotides in length. The record is from RNAcentral.
GGGGGUGUAAUUCAAUGGCAGAAUUUUGGUCUUAUAUACCAAAUGUCGUUGGUUCGAUUCCAACCACCCCUA